UACGUAGGGUGCGAGCGUUGUCCGGAAUUAUUGGGCGUAAAGAGCUUGUAGGCGGUUUGUCGCGUCUGCUGUGAAAAUCCGGGGCUCAACCCCGGACUUGCAGUGGGUACGGGCAGACUAGAGUGUGGUAGGGGAGACUGGAAUUCCUGGUGUAGCGGUGGAAUGCGCAGAUAUCAGGAGGAACACCGGUGGCGAAGGCGGGUCUCUGGAACGGUACUGACGCUGAGACGCGAAAGCGUGGGGAGCGAACAGG
This 253-nucleotide ribosomal RNA is filed under the name uncultured bacterium. Its description in RNAcentral is "partial 16S ribosomal RNA". It matches the Rfam family "Bacterial small subunit ribosomal RNA", at positions 524 to 776 of the family's 1533-position model. The record is from RNAcentral.